RNAcentral lists this ribosomal RNA (492 nucleotides) under uncultured bacterium. RNAcentral describes it as "partial 16S ribosomal RNA". It matches the Rfam family "Bacterial small subunit ribosomal RNA", at positions 29 to 507 of the family's 1533-position model. The record is from RNAcentral.
AGUGAACGCUGGCGGUAGGCCUAACACAUGCAAGUCGAACGGCAGCACAGUAAGAGCUUGCUCUUACGGGUGGCGAGUGGCGGACGGGUGAGGAAUACAUCGGAAUCUACUUUUUCGUGGGGGAUAACGUAGGGAAACUUACGCUAAUACCGCAUACGACCUACGGGUGAAAGCAGGGGAUCUUCGGACCUUGCGCGAUUGAAUGAGCCAAUGUCGGAUUAGCUAGUUGGCGGGGUAAAGGCCCACCAAGGCGACGAUCGGUAGCUGGUCUGAGAGGAGGAACAGCCACACUGGAACUGAGACACGGUCCAGACUCCUACGGGAGGCAGCAGUGGGGAAUAUUGGACAAUGGGCGCAAGCCUGAUCCAGCCAUACCGCGUGGGUGAAGAAGGCCUUCGGGUUGUAAAGCCCUUUUGUUGGGAAAGAAAAGCAGCAGGUUAAUACCCCGCUGUUCUGACGGUACCCAAAGAAUAAGCACCGGCUAACUUCGUG